UCAACACGGGAAAUCUCACCAGGCCCGGACACCGGAAGGAUUGACAGAUUAACAGCUCUUUCUUGAUUCGGUGGGUGGUGGUGCAUGGCCGUUCUUAGUUGGUGGAGCGAUUUGUCUGGUUAAUUCCGGUAACGAACGAGACUCUAGCCUGCUAAAUAGGCGUCGUUAUUUAGGUGUGCGCGGCCUCGUGUCGCGCAACUCACUGACGACGUAUUAAAAUUCUUCUUAGAGGGACCGGCGUCUUCGAGCCGCACGAGAUUGAGCAAUAACAGGUCUGUGAUGCCCUUAGAUGUCCUGGGCCGCACGCGCGCUACACUGAAGGAAUCAGCAUGUUCUCCCUGGCCUAGAGGCCCGGGCAACCCGCUGAAACUCCUUCGUGCUGGGGAUUGGGGUUUGCAAUUAUCCCCCAUAAACGAGGAAUUCCUAGUAAGCGCGAGUCAUAAGCUCGCGUUGAUUACGUCCCUGCCCUUUGUACACACCGCCCGUCGCUACUACCGAUUGAAUGAUUUAGUGAGGU
This 517-nucleotide ribosomal RNA is filed under the name Pseudomonas aeruginosa. RNAcentral describes it as "SSU rRNA". It matches the Rfam family "Eukaryotic small subunit ribosomal RNA", at positions 1200 to 1707 of the family's 1831-position model. The record is from RNAcentral. Lineage: Bacteria; Pseudomonadati; Pseudomonadota; Gammaproteobacteria; Pseudomonadales; Pseudomonadaceae.